This 495-nucleotide ribosomal RNA is filed under the name uncultured bacterium. RNAcentral's name for it is "partial 16S ribosomal RNA". It matches the Rfam family "Bacterial small subunit ribosomal RNA", at positions 356 to 868 of the family's 1533-position model. The record is from RNAcentral.
UGGGAAUCUUGGACAAUGGGGGCAACCCUGAUCCAGCCAUGCCGCGUGGGUGAUGAAGGCCUUAGGGUCGUAAAGCCCUUUCGCCGGGGAAGAUAAUGACGGUACCCGGUAAAGAAGCCCCGGCUAACCCCGUGCCAGCAGCCGCGGUAAUACGGAGGGGGCUAGCGUUGUUCGGAAUGACUGGGCGUAAAGCGCGCGUAGGCGGAUCAGGAAGUUGGGGUGAAAUCCCGGGGCUCAACCUCGGAAUGGCCUUCAAAACUCCUGGUCUUGAGUUCGAGAGAGGUGAGUGGAAUUCCGAGUGUAGAGGUGAAAUUCGUAGAUAUUCGGAGGAACACCAGUGGCGAAGGCGGCUCACUGGCUCGACACUGACGCUGAGGUGCGAAAGCGUGGGGAGCAAAACAGGAUUAGAUACCCUGGUAGUCCACGCCGUAAACGAUGAAUGCCAGACGUCGGGGGGCUUGCCCUUCGGUGUCACACCUAACGGAUUAAAGCAUU